GGCCUUCGGGUUGUAAACUGCUUUUGUACGGAACGAAAAGGCCCUGGUGAACAACCGGGGUUGCUGACGGUACCGUAAGAAUAAGCACCGGCUAACUACGUGCCAGCAGCCGCGGUAAUACGUAGGGUGCGAGCGUUAAUCGGAAUUACUGGGCGUAAAGCGUGCGCAGGCGGACAUGCAAGACAGAUGUGAAAUCCCCGGGCUCAACCUGGGAACUGCAUAUGUGACUGUAUGACUGGAGUACGGCAGAGGGGGAUGGAAUUCCGCGUGUAGCAGUGAAAUGCGUAGAUAUGCGGAGGAACGCCGAUGGCGAAGGCAAUCCCCUGGGCCAGUACUGACGCUCAUGCACGAAAGCGUGGGGAGCAAACAGGAUUAGAUACCCUGGUAGUCC
This 391-nucleotide ribosomal RNA is filed under the name uncultured bacterium. RNAcentral's name for it is "bacterial SSU rRNA". It matches the Rfam family "Bacterial small subunit ribosomal RNA", at positions 413 to 796 of the family's 1533-position model. The record is from RNAcentral.